RNAcentral lists this unclassified non-coding RNA (227 nucleotides) under Hevea brasiliensis (rubber tree). The record is from RNAcentral. Lineage: Eukaryota; Viridiplantae; Streptophyta; Magnoliopsida; Malpighiales; Euphorbiaceae.
GAGUGCUCCCACAACUCCACCACAAACUCAGAAGUCUGCCCCGACAGUACAGAGGGGUAGAAGAUCGAUGAGACUAGAGGUAGCUGGUACAUCACAAAGAGCUUCUAAGACUAUAGAACACCCCGAGGCUGAAGUAGCAUCCCGCGUGUACGCUAUGGCUCGAGAGGAGCCAAAUCUGGUAGAUGUUAUCAGAGGUACAUUUCCUAAUUAUAAUACCUUUAAGUAUG